Molecule: long non-coding RNA, 201 nt
Organism: Spea bombifrons (plains spadefoot toad)
Lineage: Eukaryota; Metazoa; Chordata; Amphibia; Anura; Pelobatidae
Exons: 3
Source: RefSeq, a predicted model, not a curated record
GGCGUAGUGAGUGACAGGUGUGGGGCCGCUGGGAGCGCGCUUUUUGCGGAUACUCCGGGUGGGUGCUGUCGGUGGGUCACAGUCUAGGAGGACGAGCGGGGCCGAAAUAUUUGCUUCGAAGAAGAAUGUGAGUCUGCUUUUUGUUUGAAAGACUUCUGCAGUUGUCACAAACCGCAUUGAACAGAAUGUCUGGUUUUCACC